Molecule: long non-coding RNA, 3763 nt
Organism: Podarcis raffonei (Aeolian wall lizard)
Lineage: Eukaryota; Metazoa; Chordata; Lepidosauria; Squamata; Lacertidae
Exons: 2
Source: RefSeq, a predicted model, not a curated record
AAGUCCUUUUCUGAAUACCGCAAAGAAUAUACAUUAUAUGGGCCAAAGGAAGUGGUAAGAUCACCAAUGUCACCAUCUUCCAUCUCCUCAGGGCUUCGUUUCACACCUAAGAUUUAAAAACAAUAUAUAAGUAGGUUGUUUUAUUUCAGAGGGAUAGCCUGGUUUUUGUUGCAGCAAACACCACAGAGAGUCUUGUGGUAUCGUAAACACUAACAGAUUUAAUUCAGCAUAAACUUUUGUGGGCGGAGUCCACUUCUUCAGAUAUAUAAAUUGUUAAUUCUCAUGCAUGAGGUAUAUGUACAUGGGAAAUGUCAGGGAAGAAAAUAAAGAUAGCAUCUUGGUGAGGAAAAUAGGGAAGGCUUAUUAUUGUCUUCAAUAAUUUGUACAGCAAAAUGCAUUACAGACUUUAAAGCGUCUCUUUUGGAAAAUCAUUCUGUUGGAGUGUAAUUACUCUUCCCUUUAUUUCAGUUUCUCCUCAGUACAGAAGCAGUGUGCCCGAAUCUUCUUUCGGAAUGUGUGGCUGAGACCGGACUCAAUUAAAACUGGGUCUUUAGGUAUGAGUGCAAUACUUCAUCCAGCUGACUGUGCUAUCUCAAAAAUCAAUGUUUUGGUCCAAAUGCUGGCAUAGAAGACCUAUGACAUCUCCAAUCCUCCAAGUACAACUGCAGGAAAAAACUCGAUAGCUUUUUGGGGUGGCAGUAUUUUUAGAAGUGCACAUGAAGCCACAUGUAAUCUGGGACAUGCACAGCCCAGUGUCGCCUCCAGUGUUGCAAAGAAUAUGACUGGUGGGGAAAGGGGGGGGGUAUCCUGAAUUGUGUACUGCUUCUGUUUAGUAGUAAGCAUGUCUUACCCCUGCUUCUUCAUUUUCCUUUUGAAACAACUCUCUUAGAUUUCCAACUUAGUCAAAGAACAGAAUUGAUCAUAAUGUAAUGAAAAGCAAAAAUUAUCAGACUUGUACAGACUUACCAGGCGCUUUAUACUCUUUGAAUGUGUCACACACUAAGGGGAAAAGAAGCACUAUUGGAAUUUCAGGGCCCUCUUGAUCUCCCACCAAGUAGCAUUCCUUCAGAUCACCAUCUUCCUUUGGUAUAAUUUGAGGGAAUGGGACUCCUUGUUCUGAGAAAUACUCUGCGGCUUUUUCCAGAGGCUAUGUAAGGGGGAUUAAAUCCAAGCAUGAUUUUAAUAGUGGAGCCAUUACUUGAUAGACUGGAAGUGCAUUCGCACACGCCUAAUUCGUAGACUUUUUUAAAAAAAAAUCUCUGGUUUCCCCAAUCCCAGCAACAUGGAACACUGCAGAGUUUGCACUUCACCUGUGACCAGAAGGUCAUCUUAAAUUCUCCAUUAAAGGGCUUUGAGAUUCUAUCUCAGCUGUGUGGAAGGCAAAUUAUGCUGCAGAACGAACUAAUUAUAUUGUUAACCAUCUCUUUUUGGGGAGAAGGGUGCCCUUAGUUGCCCAAACUUAACUAUGUGAACAGCUUGUAGGGUGAUUGGAAACCUUAAAGAACCCCACCCAUUAAUAUCAAUUUUGUUCAACCUUGCUCAACUCCCAGAACUUCCAUCUCUGUUCUGAGUAAAUAAGAGGAAGAGUUGGAGAACGGAGUGCUGAAGGCAAGAGAAGAAACGCCCCCCCCAAAGCCCUUGAGAAAGUAAGUCUUCAAGGGGAUUAAUUGCUUUGGGACCUUUCAUUUGGUAAAAAGUGCUAUAAAAAUCUCAUAAAAUAAAUCAAUCCACAGUUGUCCCAGUGGUAGCAGCAGUAUAAAGGCAAAAGGCCUUUUCUUUGCAACUGAAAGAAAGAAAGAAUGGGAAAGAAGUUUUUCUCAGUGUGGUCUGGAAACUUGGCUGGUACUGUUCUUGCAAACAGGACUGAGAACAUACAUCCUGUGCAUAGGCUUUUAACAGCUCUCACACAAAAGUCACCUCCUUAUUUGUGUAUUCAGAACUGACCUCCAAAUAUAUGUCUUGUGUACAUGCAAACAAAAAGCAGCAGAACUUGUCUAGAAGAGAAAAAACUGAUUUGGUGCACCUAACUGCUUUCACAGAAGCCGUGGUGCAAUGUGAAUAAAGCUAGCAGAAUAUUUAUCUUAUCUCUCUUCCAUCUGACAGGGAAGACGUGUGAAAGACAGCAUUUGUCAGUUUCCCCUUCUCACAGCCCUGGCAUUGCUGAUGGCAGAGGAGGAAACAGCUGCAAGAAGAUGAUUUCAACAGAAGAGAAGGCACAGGGUACAGACCAUCAACUUCCUCUUUGUAUGAUAGGGACAGAAAUGAGUAACCGACUGUCAAAAGCAAAUAAGUGAUGCACACUCCCAUUAUUUGUGUUGGGGGGGGGGGAAGCUGUGCUCAAGAUUACUUACCAUUAUUUGUGAUCCUGCGCUGUAAUUUAAGUGUAUUAUGAGAUCCACAUUUCUUCCCUGCCUCAUGAGUGGCGGGUAGCUGCUUUCAAAGGCAAAUGCAUUAUCUACCAGAUACAGGUAAUCUUCAGCUCCUGUCAGCUGGUUUGGAAAGGUAUCAAGAUCACAGUCUGAAAGAAAUGAAUUUGUGGUCAGAAACGGGCAGUGCUGCUCCUACGGGGAACAUAAAGAAACAGAAAAUGCACUCAAAAUAUAGUUCUCCCCACUCAUGACAUUUCAAGAGACGGUCCAUUUCCAGUCUCUGAACUUCUGUCUUUCAGUAACUGGGUAGAGCACACAGUUUCUGUUGCCUACCCAGGAAGUCCUUCCCCUCUGGAAGAAGAGGAAAUGGUCAGUCCUUAAAGACUCCCUGAUUGCUAUAUGAAGGCUUUAGGUAUUGGCCAAGCAAGCUAACCCAAGGGAACUUUCAUUUAAAAAAGAGCUCUUGCUAUACCUUUCCACUUUGAAAAUUCGCUCUCUAGGUAUUCGUUGUGCAUCGGGCAGCCUCUCAGAAAAUUAGGGACCACCGAAACUGCUGGUCGCCACAUAAUGACAUUUUGAAAAGCAUUGGCAAGGCUGUCCGGAGGAUACUGCAUACGGGUAGGGAGUUUAUCUGUUGACGGAUACCAAGGACACUCCUCUGUAGAAGGAACAACAUAUGAAAUGCAUUUUUUUUCCUAUGUUAGAAAAUACUAACCAUGCUAUGAGAUGCUUGAAAUUUACAGUGCUUCAUUUCCCCAUACCAUCUUGGCUUUCUACAAGUUUGUUUUUGUGUCAAAUCUACCUAAAACUCCAAAUUACAGUUCCAAAGCUGGUCUGCUUAUAUAUGGUCUGCUUCAUAUAUGGUUUCUUAAUGUGAUUAUGUGCAACAUUUCAUCUGCCUGCAUCAUGUAGGUAGAUAGCCGUUACACCAGCUCUGUUCUGCACCAACAUAUGUCAUAGGUGUCAUCUAUUGUUGAUAUAACCUGCACUGCUGUGUAGGGCCAGCAUUUACUAGCCAUUUGGACUAGCAGCGAUAGCCAUGAGAUCCAGCCCAAACCCUAUCUGAUUUGCAGGAGUUAAGCUCAAAAGUGUUAUCACUGCUGCAGGAAGCAAACGUUGGGAAACACCUUUGUUGGUAGUAUUCCACUCUAAGCUCAUCCAGUCAGUAUAAUACUCACUUGUGCCCCCACCCUUGUGCUAAUUGUCAGUGUUGGGUACCAAUAGGGUAAACUGUUUUUAAAUGAGGUUUUGAGUCCUUAGUUCCUUUUACUUAGAAAAUCAAAGUCAUAGUUUACCAAUAUGUCCCUGUUACCACUGUCAUACUUUAUUUUUUUAAAAAAAACUAUUUUGUUUAAAGUGUACCUGAUUAAAAAAACAUGUCUUUGCUAACACAG